RNAcentral lists this long non-coding RNA (442 nucleotides) under Nicotiana tabacum (common tobacco). RNAcentral describes it as "long non-coding RNA (NTAB_LNC013207)". Lineage: Eukaryota; Viridiplantae; Streptophyta; Magnoliopsida; Solanales; Solanaceae. The record is from RNAcentral.
UCAUCAACAGGUGGUUUACCCCAACCUCCCGGCUGAUAGCCAAACUUGGCUCCUGGUGGAAUAGGAGCAUUGAGUCCAGGGAUUUUCAGCUGAGGAUAAGAGGGUGGAGGACCGUAUCUCUGCACAGAAAAUUGGAGGUUUAAAAUCACAUCAGCAAUGGAACUCAUUCUAGUAAUAAAACAAAACACGGGGAACAAAAUGAUCUCUUCCACUAAAAACAAGUAGUUUUAAGGGUUUAUCUUUUGUUGAAAGUAGCAAAUAGUUUUAAGUUAGCUAACCUGCAUAUUGAUGAGCCAAGGAGGAGGAGAACCUUCAGGCAUACCAAGGGCCUCUUUCAGUUCAUGAGACAACAUUCCAGGUUUCAUUUCCCUCAACUUGACCUGCACAUCAAAAUCAAAUGAUGGUUAACAGACAAAAGAGCAUAGGAAUAUGGAAAGAAUUA